CUCACAUGGAUCUCAAGUCUUUGAAGAUUUCCGGACCACUUUCAGCUGACCAAGUGGAACAAAAGUUAGUUACAUCGACGACAGGUUUAACUACAACAACUCCAGCACCUUCAACAACAGCAACAACAGUCCUAACCACAAUAGGUAACGGAAAUUCUGUACCAUGGGCUACAGUUGUAUCUCCACCAGUUCAAGUAGUCAAACCAUUGCGUUCAACAAAUCAUGUUGGUCCUGUUUCCUAUCCUAAGCCACCUCGACCCACUGCUCCUCCACUUUCAGCUGUCGCCCCGGCUCGUCCAGCUCCUCCUCCGCCUCCUUUGCCUUCUCAGAGAUCAUCGCCUUCAUCGAAAACAGCUUCAGGCCGUCCAAAUCAACCAGCGCCCAAUAGAUUAACAGCUGGUAAUUUAUCUCGCUCUACAAGCCUUCGUUCAUCAACACGAACCCAUCUUGAAAGACCAAAGCAUCCUCCACCCAAACCCCCUCCUAUAGAUCAAAAUGAGGAUAACUCAUCCAGUGAUUCAUCUUCUGAUCCUCCUCCCUCAUCUAAUAAUAGUAAAGACCUUCAACGUCCCCUCAUGAAUAAUCGAGAAGAGGAUGAUAGGAAAGCUUCCUCCAAUGAUAGUAUCGGACAAGCCAGUUUCGCUGCACGGCUGGCUGCUUUGCAAGCUAGUUUUAAUGCAUCAAACAAAUCUUCAUCCCAUCCUCCUUCAUCCUUAUCAAAUCAACCCCAAAUCAAGUCCAAAGUAGGUUUAGUCAAAGACUCAGAUGAACAAAGUACUGGAAACGAUAAACAUUUAAGAUGAUGAUAAAUUAUGAUUAAACUAGU
Molecule: long non-coding RNA, 826 nt
Filed under: Lupinus mutabilis
Lineage: Eukaryota; Viridiplantae; Streptophyta; Magnoliopsida; Fabales; Fabaceae
Description: partial ncRNA
Source: RNAcentral